RNAcentral lists this ribosomal RNA (253 nucleotides) under uncultured bacterium. RNAcentral describes it as "partial 16S ribosomal RNA". It matches the Rfam family "Bacterial small subunit ribosomal RNA", at positions 524 to 776 of the family's 1533-position model. The record is from RNAcentral.
UACGUAGGGUGCGAGCGUUAAUCGGAAUUACUGGGCGUAAAGUGUGCGCAGGCGGCCGAGCAAGUCGAGUGUGAAAUCCCCGGGCUUAACCUGGGAACUGCGUUCGAAACUACAAGGCUAGAGUGUGGCAGAGGGGGGUGGAAUUCCACGUGUAGCAGUGAAAUGCGUAGAGAUGUGGAGGAACACCGGUGGCGAAGGCAGCCCCCUGGGUUAACACUGACGCUCAGGCACGAAAGCGUGGGGAGCAAACAGG